GAUCAAACACAAGGCAUGCUGGGUACAAGGCUCACUUACCGACUUACUGUUGCUCGUUGGAAUCUACUGGACCACUGUCUGGACAUUAUAAUUCGGCCUGUUUUCAAUCAGACCGUUGAUGAUGGAUCGGACCUUGUUUGACAACGGGUUGUCCAGUUCUGGCAGCACACACUGAAAAAAAACAUAAGAAAGCAUUUUGUUUGGCAUCCAGGCACC
This is a long non-coding RNA of Anoplopoma fimbria (sablefish), 216 nucleotides long. RefSeq lists it as uncharacterized. The transcript is spliced from 3 exons. The record is from RefSeq and is a predicted model, not a curated record. NCBI's taxonomy places the organism in Eukaryota, Metazoa, Chordata, Actinopteri, Perciformes, Anoplopomatidae.